RNAcentral lists this microRNA precursor (112 nucleotides) under Pelobates cultripes (western spadefoot toad). The record is from RNAcentral. Lineage: Eukaryota; Metazoa; Chordata; Amphibia; Anura; Pelobatidae.
GUGGGGGGUCACAGGUGAGGUGGCAGGGUGAGAGGGGGUGACCUCACCCUGUCACCCCCUCUCACCCUGUCACCCCCUCUCACCCUGCCACCUCACCUGUGACCCCCCACAC